RNAcentral lists this microRNA precursor (59 nucleotides) under Eisenia fetida (common brandling worm). RNAcentral's name for it is "Efe-Mir-184-o1_pre stem-loop". Lineage: Eukaryota; Metazoa; Annelida; Clitellata; Crassiclitellata; Lumbricidae. The record is from RNAcentral.
CCUUAUCACUUAUCUUGUCCAGUCAAAUUUAGACUACUGGACGGAGAACUGAUAAGGGC